Molecule: ribosomal RNA, 1344 nt
Filed under: uncultured bacterium
Lineage: Bacteria
Description: bacterial SSU rRNA
Rfam family: Bacterial small subunit ribosomal RNA
Source: RNAcentral
GACGAACGCUGGCGGCGUGCUUAACACAUGCAAGUCGAACGAUGAAGCGGUGCUUGCACCGUGGAUUAGUGGCGAACGGGUGAGUAAUACGUGAGUGACCUACCUUUGACUCUGGGAUAAGCCUGGGAAACUGGGUCUAAUACCGGAUACGACCAAUCUCUGCAUGGGGUGUUGGUGGAAAGCGUUAUGGAGUGGUUUUAGAUGGGCUCACGGCCUAUCAGCUUGUUGGUGAGGUAAUGGCUUACCAAGGCGACGACGGGUAGCCGGCCUGAGAGGGUGACCGGCCACACUGGGACUGAGACACGGCCCAGACUCCUACGGGAGGCAGCAGUGGGGAAUAUUGCACAAUGGGCGCAAGCCUGAUGCAGCGACGCCGCGUGAGGGAUGACGGCCUUCGGGUUGUAAACCUCUGUUAGCAUCGAAGAAGCGAAAGUGACGGUAGGUGCAGAGAAAGCGCCGGCUAACUACGUGCCAGCAGCCGCGGUAAUACGUAGGGCGCGAGCGUUGUCCGGAAUUAUUGGGCGUAAAGAGCUUGUAGGCGGUUGGUCGCGUCUGCUGUGAAGGCCGGGGCUUAACUCCGGUUUUGCAGUGGGUACGGGCUAACUAGAGUGCAGUAGGGGAGACUGGAAUUCCUGGUGUAGCGGUGGAAUGCACAGAUAUCAGGAGGAACACCGAUGGCGAAGGCAGGUCUCUGGGCUGUAACUGACGCUGAGAAGCGAAAGCAUGGGGAGCGAACAGGAUUAGAUACCCUGGUAGUCCAUGCCGUAAACGUUGGGCACUAGGUGUGGGGGACAUUCCACGUUUUCCGCGCCGUAGCUAACGCAUUAAGUGCCCCGCCUGGGGAGUACGGCCGCAAGGCUAAAACUCAAAGGAAUUGACGGGGGCCCGCACAAGCGGCGGAGCAUGCGGAUUAAUUCGAUGCAACGCGAAGAACCUUACCAAGGCUUGACAUGCAUUAGAUCGCGUCAGAGAUGGCGUUUCCCUUCGGGGCUGGUGUACAGGUGGUGCAUGGUUGUCGUCAGCUCGUGUCGUGAGAUGUUGGGUUAAGUCCCGCAACGAGCGCAACCCUCGUUCUAUGUUGCCAGCGGUUCGGCCGGGGACUCAUAGGAGACUGCCGGGGUCAACUCGGAGGAAGGUGGGAUGACGUCAAAUCAUCAUGCCCCUUAUGUCUUGGGCUUCACGCAUGCUACAAUGGCCGGUACAGAGGGUUGCGAUACUGUGAGGUGGGGCUAAUCCCUUAAAGCCGGUCUCAGUUCGGAUUGGGGUCUGCAACUCGACCCCAUGAAGUCGGAGUCGCUAGUAAUCGCAGAUCAGCAACGCUGCGGUGAAUACGUUCCCGGGCCU